This 7169-nucleotide long non-coding RNA is filed under the name Pelobates cultripes (western spadefoot toad). The record is from RNAcentral. Lineage: Eukaryota; Metazoa; Chordata; Amphibia; Anura; Pelobatidae.
CUCAGCUAAAUGAUCUAAGUCUACUAAUCCCCUUUCAUGAUUCCUGCACCAGUUAUAUGACAUGCUACAAGCCUACAAAGGUUGAAGGUGCACCCACCAUGCAUGGCACUACUUACAGGUUGGUUUACUAAACUACAAAUUUCCAUCAACUAAUUCUGAAUGUCGGAUUCGGGUAUAAUACAUAUCUCCCAACUCCAGCAUCCUGUAAAUUGGGGCGUCAGUGAAAGGGUGGAAAGGCGGCAGGACAGUGACUCAUUUACGCCACUCGUGCUGGUCAAAUAGGGUGGGCCUGCUCAGAAAGGGGGUGGGUUCACCCUUGAAUUACAAACUGAAGAUCUGUUGGUGUGUAGCAGCAACAAUCCUGCCGAGGGCCUCUCCUCCAGGCUAGAGAAAUGGGAAUAAUUCACAGUCGGGGGAUAGUUGUGCUUCAGAUGGAUAUACAGGUAAGACAAAAAGCGUAAAAAAGGUUCAUUGUCUAUUUCAGGACAGGAAUAAGUGUGGAGUGCCACAUACAUUAGGUGGACCUUCACACCAACUCUGCGAUAUCGGGCCUGGGUGCAGUGGCGUACUAACAAUGGUGGCGGGGAGGAGGGGGGUGCCACUCAUUAGGGUGGUGCCAUUCAGGGGUAGACUGAGCUGUCUGUAUGGCACUGUGCCCUGGGGGGGGGUCUGAUGUCCGAAUGACCGGCAGGAGGGGCGUGCACUGCACAGUACCUCACUCCUACCAGUCACUGCAUGUACGGUAGCCGAGCAGGCAGACCAUGGUAGAGGAGCCUCUGUUACCUCUACUCGGUAUGACAGGAAGCGAUCACUGAGAACAACAAAUUGUUUUCUGUCAGACCGGGUAAAGGAAACAGAGACUAGUCUGCCGCAGACCGCCCACUCGAUCUAGGCUACAUCAAGGGAGGUGAGGCUGAGUAGGCACAUGUGAAGGAACAAAGAAGGGCAAAGGAGGGGAGGGGGCCAAAAGAAGGGCAAAGAAGGGGAGGUGGACAAAGAGACACACCAAGGGGCUGGGGGCUCAAAGAGACACAAGAGCCCCACAGAGGGGCUUGGGGGGAAGACACACAAAAGAGACACUCAGAGACUCGCUGAGGGGUACAAAGAGACACACAGAGGAGCUGGGGUCACAAAGAGACACAGAGAGGGGCUGGGGGCACAAAGAGACAAACAGGGCGGUGGGGGUUCAGAAAAAGAUAUGCUGAAGAGCUGGGGGCACCAAGAGAUGCACAGAAGGGCUGGGGGGACAAAGAGUCACACAGAAGCACUGAGAUGGGCAAAGAGAGAAAGGGGCUGGUGAAGGGGGUAAAGAGACACUCAAAGUGUGUUGGGGAGAAAGCAGCAUAUAGAAGGGCUAGGGGGGACAGACAGGCACACAGAAGGGGAGUGGGGGAAGAUGAACACAGAGGGGAAGGGAAAAAAGAGACACACAAAGGGGUUGGGGGAGAAACAGAUGCCUGCUAGAAGAUGAAAGAUGUCUGCCAGCUGGCUACAACAGUCAGCCAUGCCUAAGGAUAUGUGAGAUAUCUUCUUGUGUGGCAUGUAGGGUAGGAUUUGAAUAAUAAUAAGUAUAUAGUUGCACUCACAUGUAAUAGAGCCUUGAAUGGCUCCAGUAAAUCAGCAUACAGUGGUACAAUUUCCACGUUUGGAUAUUUUUUUUUUAGGAGUAGUCAGUGAUGUCGUGUAAAAAUAAAACACAAAAUAAAGUGCUCUCCAUAAGCAAAACGGUUCAGUGGAAUAAAUAAUAUUAAUUACAAUUUAUUGAGCAAUCUCUAGGUAGUGCUCAAUCCUCAGCACUUUGGUGUAUAAAAUCCCCACUAUGGAGACAACUGGAAAAACUUUCACACAGGAGAAGGUAUCCAGGAGCACGGAUCAAAAUGGAACUUUAUUUAUAACUAUUUGAAAACAAUAAAAAGAGUGUCAUAAAACUUUUGACAUAUGCUUUUUAUGGGCAGUUCCCUGGUGUCCCCAAAAGCGAGAAACCAGGAAACAAAGUCGGGGUGGCAGGACAGGACCCAAAAAUUGGCACUGACCCGUUGCAAUUGGGAAGAUCUGGAGGCCUGAAAAUAGCUCAAACGGAAAAAUUAUCCAAAACAGCUAUGAUCACAGCUUGGCUAUAUUUUCCUUAGUUUUGCCAUUCUGAAUUAAUUUGCAAAAAUUUAAGGUUUAGUGAAGAACCCAAUUGGUGCCCUUGUUAAAGAGCAUUAAAUGCAAUCUAUACAUUGUGGCAACUGAAUAGCCUUAAAAUGUACAGAUUAAAAAGUUAGUUUGUAUUUUCCGUAAUUUGAAAUUCCUGGGCUUUAUUUAUAUGAAUUUAAGGAUCCUGUCAGUGCCUGCGCAAGCCGUCACUCCACCCCAAAUAACAGGGUUGCAUCAAACAUGUGUGGCUGUAAUUGUUUUUCGAUGGGGAGGGUGUGUGUUCAGCCACUCGAUUCAGCCAAGGAAGCCAUCUUGCUUCAGGAGGAGGGCUGCAUGGAGUAAUCUUGACACUGUGCAAUAAAUAAAACCCUUUGUGUGAUGUACGACAUGCUAAUUGUGAAUAAUUUUUCAGGAUUAUUCACUAACCAUGAACUGUCAGGAAUUCAGCAGGAAAUUGCUAAUUUUAGCUCGCAGUAGCCGAUCUGAAAACAUGAGCAAUUUAGCGAAUUUUUCUGCCUCUCUUGACGAAAGGAUUCUUUACAACGAGAACGAUAAAGUUAUGGAAUUCUCUUCCUGAAGAGGUUGUUUUAUCACAUCAGAGAUUUUUACAAAAUAUUUUUAAGUUUUUUGAAUAAAGAAUAUUCAAGGAUAUAAAAGGUAAACAGCUUGUUAAUCCAGAAAUUCUGGCAGCCAUUUUGGAAUCCAAAAAGAUUUCGUUUUUUUUUCUGUUUGUGGCAAAAUUGGAAAAUCACUUUAAAAAUGGUUGUUGGCGCCGCGAAGCUAGCUACCGAUCGAAGCAGACGUACAUGCUUAAAGCUCCUGAGAGAGUUUUGACAAAUACAAGCAUAUAAAAUCUAUAAUCCUAUAAUUCUAUCCUAUAAUCUCCCUAAAGUCAUCCAGACACCAUGGGAAAGAAAGCCAAAUCUCAAAGGAGCGACACAACCACCUUCUCUAAGGAUAUUAACACUUUACUCCAAGUGACUCCACAACCAAAAUGGCGCCAUGCGGGAGGACUCCGACAUGGCAUCGGAGAAGAGCGCCCACGAUGAUUCUCUUUUCCCUAUCAGGCCCGGUGAAAUAAGGCUUAACCCUAUUCCUGAACUGUAAAGAAGUAGGCAAGCCCCAAUACCACCUGGAGCACUUACCUGCCAGUAAAGCAAAUAUCCAAAAUCUACUGAAAGAGCUGAAGGCCCUAUUUGCUGUUGGUGCGGGAGAACUUGGAGACCAUGACAGUCCGGCUGCAGGCACUGGAGGAUGAUGGCAACAUCGCAAAAGGUAAACAUGACAAUCUGAAGACAGAGGUAGACAAGCUUAAGCAAGCUGACCUCAUUAUGGAGGAUAAAGUGGUGGCUGUAACAUAUUCAUCCUCACCUUGCGGUAAGCGGCCGUGCAUCUGCAUGUCGGACACUUGCAGCAUGUUAAUGGACGCCGGCCGCUGCGGAUUCAAGGCUAUUUAUACCCCCACACUCGCUCACGUAACUGACGAUAUCGGUGCGCACGUGACGUCACGUUUUGGGGUCAAAGAGUGAUCACAGCCAAUCAGAAAAGGAAAACCGGUAUAAAAGCCUAGAAUUACCUUUCCUCGUUGCACUGUCGUGGUUUCCCUAGUGGUUGUCCGAGAGCGCGUUCCUUAUUCAGGUUAUUCUGGUUAUUUGACUUUGGCUUCCCUGUUUUCUGGUAUCCCUGACCUCUGGCUUUCCUUUAUCGUUGUGUCUCUUUCUGUUUCCCUUGACCUCGGCUAUUCCUGACUAUUCUUUGGUACAUUAGUCCGGCCAUUCUAAGGCCCGGUAUGCGUUACCUAUUAGUCUCCUGAGUUACACAGUUCUACGUGCUGGAUCAUACUGUAAUCCUGACAGCGGCACUAGAAGACAAAGGAUUCGUGGUAUCCCUGAAGAUAUAAUAGACAUUGAGAUUCCUCUCUAUCUUCGAAGUCUGCUGAGCUCCAUGCCCUCUAAAGCUUAAGCUAUGCUACCGCAAUAUAACUUUCUGGUCCCCAAAUCACCUAGAGCCCCUGCUGGGGUCCCAAGCGCCUUAUUGCUAUACUUCCAGUCGCUUUGGUGUAAGCAACUCGUACAGCCUGUUAUGCGUGAAUCGUACCAUUUUGAAGGUUCUGUCCUUCCCUUCUUUAACAACCUUUCUAUGCCCACCAUGCUAAGGAGACAGUCCUUGCGACCUGUGACACCGAAGUUGAGGGACCAUAAAGUCAAAUACCGAUGGGGAUCAGCCCAAAAAUUAUCGGUGUUUCACAAGGAGAGUGACUCAGGGGUGACUUUGUAGGUCAUGAUUCUUGCAUGGGUGUGUUUGCAUAUUGUGUUGGUGUUUGAUUGCUGGGAUGUCUGCACAUACACUGCCAUAUACAUACACAUUAACAAACAGAAACACACUGCUUCAUAAACAAACACAGAUACACACACUGGCGCACAUAAAUAUACAGUCUCAGAUACACAUACUGGCAGAUACACACACUGGUAGAUAUACACUGACAUACAGAUGUACACACUAACAUACAGAUACACAAACAGGCAAAUACACACACAGAUACACGCACUGACAGAUACACACACACACACACAGUGGCACAAAGAUAAACACACUAGCACAAAGAAACACACUCAGAUACACACAGAUGCAAACACUGACAGAUACACUGACACAGAUAUACACAGUGACACAUACACACCUUGACACACAGAUACACACACUGGCACAUACACACUGACACACAGAUACACACAGGUACGCAUACACACUGACACACAGAUACACACACACACACACACACACACACACACAUAGGUCAUAAUGUUUAUCCUGUUAUCUUACCUUUUUUUUCUGUGGACGGGUGGCUUGCUUGGAGUGCUGCUUGCUGCUGGCGUGUGGAGUCUGCAUUAGCUCUCUCUCCGCUGCCACCUUCUCUCCGUCACGCUCUUCGCGCUCUAUGUCUGGGAGAAAGUGACCGGCUGUCACCUCCUCCCAGCAUCCGAUACUACAGGGGCUCAGUCGCACUCUUAAAUGGCCGUCGGGGGCUGACCUGGCCUCUGUUCAGCAAUAUCCAUUGGGUGGCCCUAAGUGCCUGGACCAUCUGAUGGGUAAAUCACGGCGGAACCCCAGGUUUGUUCUUCCGGAACCCUAGGGUUCUGCUCGACACCAACUGGGAAAUGCCUUAGUGAACAGCAUAAAGAGAUGUUGAAAUUGUAACUCUCCCCAGUUUGUAACGUUUGUAGCUAAUUCCCAGGAGUUUACUUUUCAAAACAAGAGGAUACAAAGCAAACAAGAGAAUAAAAUGACAACUAUUACAGUAACGACACAACAAAAAAGACACAGACACACACUUUAAUGUCUCUUCCUUUUGACCAUGACAGAUAUGAGAGUAAUAAACAUGGGCCGCAGAAAACGUAAAUUAUAUAGUUUAGUAUUGAAUAAAAUGAAUGCAUGCAAAAUCUAUAAAGCGUGAUUUUUCUCUGUGUUUUGAAACGUCAUAUUAUCGUUAUUCCUAAUAAAUUACAUAUUUUUUGUUGUUUUAAUAAUGAUUAAAUUUUUAGCACACCUAUUAGCAACUAUAUGAACUGCAACUCCCAUGGUCCUCAGCCAGUUUUGCCGGCCCCCCCCCCCCACCUCUCCUAGCUGAAUACUGACUUAUAAUCAAGGUGGUUGUUGUAUUUAAAGGGACACUGUAGUCACCUGAACAACGUUAGCUUAAUGAAGCAGUUUUGGUGUAUAGAACAUGCCCCUGCAGCCUCACUGCUCAAUCCUCUGCCAUUUAGGAGUUAAACCCCUUUGUUUAUGAACCCUAGUCACGCCUCCCUGCAUGUGACUUGCACAGCCUUCCAUAAACACUUCCUGUAAAGAGAGCCCUAUUUAGGCUUUCUUUAUUGUAAGUUGUUUAAUUAGGAUUUUCUUAUCCCCUGCUAUGUUAAUAGCUUGCUAGACCCUGCAAGAGCCUCCUGUAUGUGAUUACAGUUCAAUUUAGAGAUUGAGAUACAAUUAUUUAAGGUAAAUUACAUCUGUUUGAAAGUGAAACCAGUUUUUUUCUCAUGCAGGCUCUGUCAAUCAUAGCCAGGGGAGGUGUGGCUAGGGCUGCAUAAACAGAAACAAAGUGAUUUAACUCCUAAAUGACAGUGAAUUGAGCAGUGAAAUUGCAGGGGAAUGAUCUAUACACUAAAACUGCUUUAUUUAGCUAAAGUAAUUUAGGUGUCUAUAGUGUUCCUUUAAGUAGGAACACAACCUGUUGGCACAAGGGUUUAUUUAAGUACAUGAUGUAAUGCCAUUUAACGACCAGCAGAGGGCAGUACAGGAUAAGCCUUGCUCGGCAUAAAUGUCUAGCGUUAACAAACUAUGUGUGUUUAUGGAGUGAAAGUUCAGACAUUUAAUAUACACAGUGAAGCCGGUAUCCUGGUUAGACCGAGAAGUAAGUGCCUCCACCUUCUCUGCUACAACAGAAAAUCUGUGCGGUAAAAACAAAUGUUAAUAUACAGCUCGCUUCAUUGAUUUAGCAGAAUGUUGAUUGUGAGUUGACUGUAUGUCUGAACCGAAAUUUGAUUUCACCAAUACCAAUUGCAACAUAACUCAGACAUGUCGCCUUUUAAAAUCCACUUAACAGUAAUUGUCUGAUUUGUGUUUGCAUCAGGAACAAUCAAUGCUUUCUUUAUUUCGACGGCGGCUGAGAACAAAGAGGGCAAUUUUACUUGAGUUUUGUCCGAUGACAGCGACGUGGUGACACGUGGGCGGUGUGGAAGGUACACGUGGCCCCCCUCGCAGGAAAACGUUUGUUUCUAGAUAGGAAAUAUCUAUAGCACAGCCAUUUGGAUCAACAAGCAGAUAACGCAAACGUGGAUGGACAAUGUCCCUCAGCUAUGUAUUUAUAUUUCAAACAGAGUUAUAUAAAACACUUUGGAAUCUUUAACAAAUUCUGUUUUCUGGGCUUCGAUCGAGUAAUGGCAAAAAGAAGUUGACAAUCUUGUUAAAUGCCAUAUUUCGCAUUCCAAGUGUGCCAUGUUUUAUAUUAAAGGAUUACGCCAGACUCCUAAAGC